AAGCAAGCUCAGAAACAGCUCGUUUCAAAAGCUCGCUAUCGGUGAAUAGAAUGGCUAGAUGACUUCUUAAUGCAAGUACUACAAUCAUGCAGAGUAUCCCAAUGAGAAGUGACUGAAACACUGUAACGUAUACACUACAUUUGGUCGCCCUGGCACGUCCUAGCCCAAGCUCAUUUGAGACCCGAACACUUAUGGCAGCAUUGACUCCAAUAAAAAACAUUGCUUCCCAUCCAUCGACAUUCAUGCAAAUCGAGAGGGCUCCAACUGCAGUAACUGCAUCUUUGAGAUGACCAGUGAGGAGAAUAAUACUCACCAUAUACCAGGUUUCUAGGCAUAGCAUAACAGCCGAUUCAAUAGACAGUCUAACAAAGGCCCAAAUCUCAUUGAAUGCAGACCAAGACCAUCCCUUCCAUCCAUCUUUGCACCAAAAAACUACGUAAGCAAAUUGAGCAAGUGCAUUGACCCAGCCUACAAGAUUAAAGGAUAUAGCUGCCCCGGUCAAACCCCAAUUGAAUACAUAAAUGAAGAGCCAAAGGAGAAUAGCAUGGAGUACGAGAGCCACAAAACCAAUCCAGGCCAGCACACCAACUUUACUCUGGGCUUGAAGAAA
This 610-nucleotide unclassified non-coding RNA is filed under the name Hevea brasiliensis (rubber tree). Lineage: Eukaryota; Viridiplantae; Streptophyta; Magnoliopsida; Malpighiales; Euphorbiaceae. The record is from RNAcentral.